CCUACGGGAGGCAGCAGUGAGGAAUAUUGGACAAUGGGCGCAAGCCUGAUCCAGCCAUGCCGCGUGCAGGAUGACGGUCCUAUGGAUUGUAAACUGCUUUUAUACGAGAAGAAACAUCCCGACGUGUCGGGACUUGACGGUAUCGUAAGAAUAAGGAUCGGCUAACUCCGUGCCAGCAGCCGCGGUAAUACGGAGGAUCCAAGCGUUAUCCGGAAUCAUUGGGUUUAAAGGUCCGUAGGCGGUUUAAUAAGUCAGUGGUGAAAGCCCAUCGCUCAACGGUGGAACGGCCAUUGAUACUGUUAGACUUGAAUUAUUAGGAAGUAACUAGAAUAUGUAGUGUAGCGGUGAAAUGCUUAGAGAUUACAUGGAAUACCAAUUGCGAAAGGCAGGUUACUACUAAUGGAUUGACGCUGAUGGACGAAAGCGUGGGUAGCGAACAGGAUUUAGAUACCCUGGUAGUCCACGACCGUAACGACUAGAUACUAGACUGUUGGUUGUCGAACUACAGUGUCGUAGACGAAGUAG
This 525-nucleotide ribosomal RNA is filed under the name uncultured bacterium. RNAcentral describes it as "bacterial SSU rRNA". It matches the Rfam family "Bacterial small subunit ribosomal RNA", at positions 338 to 860 of the family's 1533-position model. The record is from RNAcentral.